RNAcentral lists this non-coding RNA (27 nucleotides) under Mus musculus (house mouse). Lineage: Eukaryota; Metazoa; Chordata; Mammalia; Rodentia; Muridae. The record is from RNAcentral.
UGACUGUUCCUCUUCGUUCCUCCUGUC